UCGAUAUGGUCUGUACAAAUCAGUAUUAACUAUUAAUCUAUGAAUUCAAUUGUUAUUGCAAUUAAAUAAAUGAUGUAUCUGUUAAAAUUAAUUACAGAAACAUCAAUAUCAUGAAAUCAUGAAUAGCAAUUUUACCAAAGAAAGAAAAUUAAGAAAGCAAGAUAUAAACAAUUAAACAUGCAAUGCGUAUGUGAAAUGACCUCUUAAUACGGUAUAAAGACAAAACAAGAGAUGCUUAGAGUAAAACAGAGAAAAUAAUGGAUACUGAUUACUGGGUGCUGACGAUCAACUAAAAGAUAACAGUGAUUGCUUGUUAAACAUAGGAAAUACCCAACAUACUAGACAACCUUUUGGCUUCCCCGUCCGUCCUCUGGACUCUUGUUCCUGUUGGAUAAUUUGACCAUUUCUGAGUCGGAAAUAAUAAUAAAUGACUCAAAUAGUUUUAUGAUGCUAAAACAUUGCAUUCUCAAUGAAUAAAUAUUGAAAAAGUUAGGCACUGAUCAGGUAGUUAGCACUAAAUUUCAUAUUUCCAAAGCAAUUUAAUAAUGAAAAAAAAAUAUACGGAGAGAUUCUUUCCCUUAGUUGACUGUACUGCAUGUUAGGAAAUGCCAUGUAUCUAUGGACUUGUCUCACUCAUGCAACAGUUAUCGUAAUCAAAGUUUGAAAAAAAAUCAAUUCAUAGUUCACACAAUUUCCAACCUCUUCCUGGCAUCUACUAUCUCCAAUUCUCCAUUUCCAAAUUAAAAACAUCGAAUCCAUUCUCUUUUUUCUUUAACAUGAUAUUCUCUAGUUUAUGUUAGAUGCAACCCAAGUAAUAGUAUCCAAGUAAUCUAACCAAUCAACCAUCUAUAAAAAUAAAAUAGAGUGAUCAGCCAAAAUAGCCCUUUUUUAAUGUCUUCUCCUAUAUGGCUGGCUAUAUAUCCCCUUUGUUCAUCGUUUCAUCUCCACGACAAAAAAAAAAUUACUAUCGGAAUUUGGAAAGAAGAAAAAAAAAGCAAUCCCCAUCACUUGUCAUAUCAUAAUUCUAUCGUGCAGAAUUAGAUGCCCCCAUAUUCGUUCCCUUUCUUAGCUUUUUAGUUUUUAGCUUCUGGGCUUAUAUAUAUUGUCAUUUAUUCAAUCCAUUCCAAUCAAAAAUAAUAAUUCUGGGUUCUAGUUUCUACCUUCAACCAUUCCAAUGGCCGCAGAUGCAGAGACGACCAAGCUUUUCUCUAUCACUCAGAAUCCCACUUCUAGCAUUAAGGUAAAUUUAACUGCAGUCAUACGAUAACAUAAUAGCAAACAUGUGAGUACUGAUAUACUGAUAUUGAUUGAUAUACUUACUUGUGAUUUUGUGAAUCAGAGCGGAGUAACAAAGGAGUUGAGAGAGCUCUGGUCAAUGGCAGUCCCGAUCACAACAAUGAACAUUGUGGUUUACCUCCGAUCACUGAUAUCUGUUCUCUGUCUUGGUCGUCUGGGUAGUCUUGAACUCGCAGGAGGAGCUUUAUCUAUAGGAUUCACCAACAUCACCGGUUACAGUGUUCUGUUCGGACUGGCAUCCGGUUUGGAACCGUUCUGCAGUCAAGCAUUUGGAUCGAAGAACUACGAGUUGAUUUCCUUGUCUUUCCAGCGAACCAUCCUCCUUCUACUCAUUUCGUCCAUUCCGAUUUCGUUACUCUGGAUCAACUUAAAUCCGAUACUCAUAACUCUCGGUCAGGACGAAUCCAUCACGUCAGUCGCCGCCAUCUACUGUCUCUACUGCCUACCCGACCUUCUCACUAACUCCUUCCUCCAACCCUUACGUGUCUACCUCCGUUCCCAGAAGAUAACGAAACCGAUGAUGUGGUGCUCAGCUUUGGCCGUUCUGCUCCAUUUACCUCUCAAUGUAGUUUUCGUCUUCGUCCUAGGGUUUGGCGUCCCCGGAGUCGCCAUGGCGCAAGUGAUGACCAAUCUCAACAUGUGCAUCUUCCUAGUCAUUUACUUAAAAUUCUCCGGUGCGUGCGAUCUGACCUGGAAGGGAUGGGAUCGGAACGCUACGACGGGAUUAACUCCAUUGAUGAAACUCGCCUUACCGAGUUGCUGUGGAAUUUGUCUGGAAUGGUGGUGGUACGAGAUCGUAACAAUCUUGGCCGGAUAUUUGGAAAAUCCAAAAACUUCCGUUGCCGCAACCGCCAUCCUCAUCCAAACUACCAGUCUCAUGUACACCUUCCCGAUGGGCCUCGCCGCCUGCGUCUCCACCAGAGUCAGCAGCACAUCUAUCUCUUUAUAUACUUUUCCCAAAAUUUCCCGUUAUAUAUUAAUUUGGUUUUCUAACUUUCAAGGUAGGAAACGAAGUCGGCGACGGGAAAUCAGAAAAGGCGAGAUUAGCAUCACUAGUAGCCAUAACAUGCGGAUUUGUAAUCGGAGCCAUACACGUGGUAUGGACGUCCACCGUUGGAUCUCGAUGGGCAUCUUUUUUCACCGAUGACUCCUCCGUAGUGAAUCUGGCAGCAGCAGCAAUGCCGGUGCUUGGACUAUGUGAGCUUGCGAAUUGUCCGCAGACAACCGGAUGCGGCGUUCUACGCGGCAUAGCCAGACCGGGUAUUGCGGCUAGGAUUAACCUGACGUCGUUCUACUUGAUCGGUACGCCGGUGGCUCUUAUUCUGACGUUCGGAUUAGGCAUUGGAUUCGGCGGACUUUGGUAUGGUCUACUCAUCGCGCAAGCUGCCUGUGCUGUGCUGAUUUUGAGGGUUGUGCUGGUUCGGACUGAUUGGGCCGUCGAGAUUCUCAGAGCCAAGAAGCUCACCAACCACCACGUGGUGAACGACGAUGGUGAGGGGGAGGAGUUGUUAGGUUGCGGGUUAACCGUUACUGACGUGUAAUAGUGGGUGGGACCCAUUUAUUAAUAUUAAACUAUUAAUCAUAAUGUCAAUAUUUUUAUUUUAUUUUGUCUUUUAAAAAGUAAAACAACGGAUAAUAUAAUUACAGAUAAUGUGAUAGUGGGUGAGACCGCACCUGAUCUUGUAGUCCGGCACGCUAUUUUCCAUCCGACGGUCACGUCGCCGGACAUGAGGAAUGCACUUUCAACCGUUCCCUCGACAUGAGGAACUUUUCAUGCCUUCUGAGACUGUCUUUAAAGAUGUCAUUAAAGACACCGUACCCUUCUUUAUUUUAAUCUUUAAAGAGAUCGUUAAAGACAUCACUCUCUCAUUUGAUCCGGAGUAUUAUAAAAAAAAUUAUUGUCAAAGACAUCUAUUAUAGAAGUAUAAAAGAUCAACCUUCUAAGACAGCGUAACUAAUUACUAUAUAAUUAAUAGAAAAUAUGGGAGAUCAAUCUUCUAUUAGUUAUGUAAUAUCAAUAGUAUUCAAGUACGCUGAACCUUCAAUGCGUCGCCGUGCGUCAUCAAUUCAUGAUCAGUAGUAUUUAAUUCAAUGACUAAAAUAAUGUUGAUGGUAUGUGGGCUCGCGCUAGGGUGUUUGCACACACAAUUUUCUAGUAUUGUCCUUACUAAUAAUCGAUCAUCUUCCCUGUUGCACCAAGGGCAUACACAACUCUCUAAUAUUGUCCUUACUAAUAAUCGAUCAUCUUCCCUGUUGCACCAGGGGCACACACACAACUCUCUAGUAUUGUCCUUACUAAUAAUCGAUCAUCUUCCUUGUUGCACCAGGGGAGGUAUUUAUAGGACAUUUUCCUGGGCUUUCUGGGCCCAAUAGUCAUGUUCGGCUCAUGGUCCGUCUGAACAGGCUCUGGUACCAACAAAUGUAAUGCACAACACGCUAACACAUGUAACGGAAUUUUGGUAACGAUCAAAGUUAACGAAAAUUUCGUUACAAAUACUUUUUUUUGUAGUGAAUGGACAUGAUCAACUUGACACAUAUAACAUUCGCACUGUACGACUCACCUGAAGUGCACCGUAAUUAGUAUUAGUGAAAACUAAUUUAUCGUUGACAAGACAUAGAUAGGCCUGACAAAAUUGUCGGAUGAAAAAUAGAAAGAACCUACGACAAGUAGAAUGAACUGUUUGCAAACAACAUAGGGAUUGACGUCAGAAAACGUACGGUCCGGAUUAGAACCGCACGGUCCCGCAAAAGAACUACUCUCAAUAUAAUUAGGUAAUUAACUAUGUAAAUACUGCAAUUAAGAUUAAAAGAAAAAUAAGAUAGUGUGUAAGUAUGCAAUUACCAUCGAUAACAUUACACAAACAAGUUUCUACUUCUGCACAUAUCAGUGGCAGAAAACAGAAAUAACAACCACUGAAUCUUUCGAGCACCACUAAUUACUAAACCAACAUUAUAUAUUGUUAUGAUUAAAUUUAAAUGGGUGACAUCAACCACAAAACACAAGAUAAACCUUUUUUUUAUUUUUCUCUGUUUAUUUAUGCCAUAUGGAUAGUAUUCAUUAUUCAUUUAAUGGGAGAUGAUAAGUGAUUUUAAGCAAAAGUGGAUGAAUCUUUAAAGUUUGAAAAACAAUUUGUCAUUGUGUUUACCAAAUGGCUCUCACUCAUCAAUUUGAACUCCCAUCUGGGAGCAAUUGAUUCAAUUAAAUUAUUGAGUGGGUAUAAAAUUUGGUUAUACCCAAUUACAUAAAGUUUGGAUUUAUUAUUUUUUUCUUCAUAUGAGAGCACCAUGCGUUGGACCCCAGGAUACUGAUCAGUAGCUACAAGAUUAUCUGUUGGGUGGUUUUUCUUGAAGAAAGAUGGAAAAAAUCACACUAAAAGAAAGAUAAGAGGUCAUUGACCCCACUCAAGUUUUUUUAUCACCCAAGGAAUUAGACCUCCUCUUGUAGCUAUGAUAAAUCCCUCUUGCAUCCAAUCUGUGAUGCUCCUCCUUAACUAGAAAUUCAGAAUCUCUUUAUAGCAUUUAGAGAGUGAGUGCCACUCAAUCUCUGUGUAGCAAGGUUUUGGAGGCAAUUCAACUCUAGACAACAGUAGUCGCCAGGGAUGGUAUUAUAGUCACAAGGAGGACAACAAGAGCUUCCCAUCUCAAAGAAAAGAGUAUCGCAAUUUCAGACGCAAGGCAGAUCGACCACUUAGAACAGAGAGAAUGAGCACCCCAAUCAUAGGAAAUAGUGAGCCGAUGCAUCCAUUCUAUGGCUUUAUCAAUAAGUGUCUACCCGGUCACAACCCAUGAUAUUGGAGACCUUAGAAGGUUACAAUAUUAUAUCCCACCAAUUUGUAAAGAUGGUUCCCAUCUACACACUUCUCAAACACGAUAUGAUUGACAUUUCAGGCCCUAGAGAUAAAUUGACUCUCGCUCUAAGGAUACUAGGAGACCUUCUUAGCUUAAGAUCUAUAACUUGCAUGGCCAAGAAUAAAUGAGAUUUAUCCGAUGUCAAGGUAUAGGGAUUAUACAUUCACAAUUGCUUUCAAAAAAAUUUCAGACUACUUGAUUGUAUUGUAUAAAGUAUUGUUCGAUUCACGUCAGGUUCACCACUGAUCGUAUUGUAUAAAGUAUAUACUAGACAGUCUUACAAGUAACAACUGUUUUCCCCCUUUCUACACUUCACCCCUAAGGGUAUUUAUACAGUUUCCUACUGGUUCUCGGACCUUGCGUUCCCGGACCCAGAUCCGACCCGACGGAUCCGAGAAGUUUGGGACGCAACCAUUGGGGGUAUAACCAUCCGGCUCGGUGGAUUGGCCCGGUUGACCCGCCCGGGCUAAAACCCGUCAGGCAGUCUGGGUCUUCUUCUUUUAUUUACUUUACUGGGCCUCGAACCUGGACUCUCGCAUGGGCCUGGACUGAUGGACUAGGGGUACCAUCACUACCUAAUGUGUUGUAAUAGGAAGUGGGAGAUGAUGUGUGACCCCAGUUAUUAUAAACAAGGAAAAUCUUGAUACUAUUCAUAAUGAGGCUUGUGAUUGGGCUCCACAAUGGGUAUACGUGCAUGGCAUGACCUUAGGUGUGUAUGUCAAACAUGCAGUCAAUUCAUUAAUUAGUGUAUUGACUAUGCCACUACAUGCUAAAUUCAUUGACACCUCUGCCUAUCUGAGUUGCCUAAGGGGCCUGCAUUCAGGCGGAUGAAAGAUUUAACUACCCCCCCGUACGUACUACAAUACAUCUCAGAAUCCGGCAAUGGCAGUUACAAAUUAAGGCUCUCUCCGCCUCUCUUACUCUUUCAGACCGCCUCAUUGUAGGAGGUGCAAUAGGUUCGGCCACUGGACAGCUAAAUGCACCCUCAACCUGCCCACUGUGUUGAACUCCCUGAAGAAAACAAAUCGAUGAUCAACCGAGAGGCACUAGAGAACAAAGUAGAGCAGUCACCAUUGGCUCUGGAGCAGGCAUCUCUGACCCCAAUACAGUCUGAACAUCCCACUGAAUUGGCUCUGGAACAAGCACAAAAAUUCCAAAGAAAUGCAUCAGACAAGGUGUGGUCAGGAAAUUGAGUCCAUCAGCCCCUUAUUUUUUAAUUACUCCUAUACUAGAAAAAAAAUUUACAACUCUCUGAACACCUCAACCAGACCCUCUGAAAAAUAUCAAACUCCCCCAUCCCAACCCUCACACAUCCUUAUAUUAGAAUUGGAGAUGUAAUAGAGUCAUGCCAAAAACUGACACAUCAGUCUCUUCCAUGAGGUCUGCAUUUGAAUGCUAUUGAUUGCCUCACAUGGCACAUUUGGUCGGAAAAAAACAGGAGGCUUCAACUCUCAGACCCCCAGAAGUCAUUCCAGCAGAUAUAUUAAAAGACUGCAUAAUAUCUUUUAAAACUGGUAUCUUUAAAAAAGAAUGUGGUUCGCAAUUGGAAAUGACUACUAUGAAGGUUUGGGAGACAACCCUCCUGAGGUUCAAGUCUUAGCUAGCACUUGGAAGGAUAGUUAUAUAAGAGAAGGUUGAUAUAGUGGAAAACACAAUCAACUCCAUCGUAUUUUAUUUUCCUAUUCAUUUGUAUUUCAAAUCAUUGUCUUUCAUUAUCUUUAAUGAAAAUUUUUAAUAUUUACAAAAAAAACAUAAUUGACAAGUAAAAACAAAACCAGUAGAGAAAUUUAAUAAUGUAAAGAGAAUGAAAUUUAGUAAUUUUUUACAUUACAAAACAUUGUUUGUAAUGUAAAGAAAAAAUUCACUGAAUAGCUUAAAUUUAGUAAUUAUACAGAAAACCUUGAGAUAAAUUGUUGUUAAUAGCAUUGAAAUGUUGCUUAUAAAAUAUUAGUAUGAGAAUUCAUAAUAAUAACGUAGAAAACUAAUAUCAAAUUAACUAUACAUAAAUAACAUGAUUUUAAAAAAUAAUCUAUCAUUUUUAAAAUUAAAAUAAUAAGUAUUUUACAUUUUUUAUGAAAUCUAUUUUCUGGUUAAUGCAAUCUUUCAAGACCAUGCUUCAACAUUGAACCUUCCAAUUCUCUCCUGUUGUCUAAGCCACUUUUCGGCAGUUUCCUUUGAAACGCCUCCUUCUUUAGAAAUUAUUUCGACCAGAGCACUGGUAACAUCUGCUGGCAUUUUAUUUGACGACCCAGCAAUGUAUACUGCAGCUCCAGUACUAAGUAAUUUCCAAACCCUUGCACUUUCUUCCUUCAUCUUAUGCUGCACAUAAACUUUUUUUGUUUCGUCUCUAGAGAAUGCCACAAACAAACCUCCUCCUUUACUAGAAGACAGUACUCCAGAAUCUUGUGCAUGAGUUUGCCAAAACUCCUCAUACAGAUAGUCACCAUGCUUGCUUCGACAUCCAAAGAAGAAAAUUACCGGAGCUGUUGAUUGGGAUACACUUUGCAGUGCACGUUCCUCGAUGAAUGCAUGGAAUGGAGCACAUCCAGUUCCUGGUCCAAUUAGAAUCAAAGGAACAGAUGCUUGGGGAGUGGGAAGGCAACCAUUAUGGAUCCAUGCAGGAACAUACACUUCUGCAAUUGUUCAGAUAGAUUGUUAAUUUUCAGUGGCACACUUUAAAGCUAAAAGAAAACUAUUCAAUACCUUUCUUAUUUUCCUUUGAGUUGAGAGACGCCAACCAAGAUGAGCAAAGGCCAUAUCGCUUUCUCUUGAAAGGACUUGUCCAUGAUACCACAUUCACUGUCAAGUGCACUUCUUUAGGAUGGACUAAAGGUGAGGAAGAAAUAGAAAAAGCUCUUGUUUUCAGUGGUGGGACAAGCUGGACCAACCAUUCAAAUGGCAUUUUUACUGAAGGAAAGUCCUCUAGAACCUGUAAAACACUUAUUCCAUUAUGAAAGGACAAGGCAGCAAUGGAAAGAUGUCCAUGUUUUAUCACAAAAAUAAAUUUUACCUCUAGAACACUUCUUCGCUCCUUUUGAUUAUAUUUAAAUAGAUCAUCUCUUCCUUCAGGAGAUGCAAAAUACUGCAACCUUUCUAUUUCAUGUUCAGCCGUUGCGAAAAAACUCAUAACCUGAAUUUUAAAUAUGCAUGAAAGAUAAAAUUGUGUCAUAUAAUACUUGCGUGGAAGUGAAAUAAAAAUUGUUGUAAAAUAAAUAAUAGAAUGACUUCUUCCUUGAAAGGGAUUCAUAGUGCGUUUAAAAAACGUUUUCUGGCUCCACAAUUAGAAGUAAAGAUGAUCUCUGAAUCGAACCCAUAAUAAUGUGAAUGUGAUCAAACUCUAAAGUUUACUGGAAUAAAUAAUCAACUUGCCUCAAAAAAAUAGCGUCGAGGAGAGGCAGAAGCAACAUCCAUUGUCAGUUCCACAUAGGUUUUUAAUUUGACUGGACUCUUAGAUAGUUUUGAAUCAGUUCUAGAAGAGUUUUCAGCGGUAGAUUUUGGUAUGACCUAGAAUAAAAAGUAUUAUGAAACUAAUGAUCUAAUUCAAAUAGAAAUGAAUGGCAAGUAUAGUAAAAUGUGAUUAGAAGUUUAGAAUGAAUUUCGUACUGUGAUAUAAACAUCUGGGUCUAAGUUGCAUCGGUUGAUAAAAGAAUCCACUGCAGUUGGGUCCUGACCAGGGAGAACUUCAAGAAUAUCACCUGAACAAUACUCAACAACCUGAAACAAGGAAAGAAAUUUCAAUUUUUUGAAGAAAAGGCAUCAUUAGUUAAUGCAAUAAAAAGGCAUAUCUGCAACAUACAGAUGUGAUGGAUUCAAAUUCAAAAUGCCGUACAUCCUUUUCUUGUUUUUCUUCAGUUAAGCGUUGGUUUUUUGUCUGUAAAUGAAAGUCAAUACAUUACUGCUAACAUGCAAGCAAGCACAAUAAUGCAAUCAUAACCGUAGAAAAAUGUGACAACAUAAUUAAUCUAUCAUUUGAUGACAGAUGAUUGUACUGUAGCCUGAAAAUUGAUGUCAAUAACUCAUUUAGGGUAUUAAAUAGAAAAUUUAUCGUGAUUUGGGAUAUUGAACAUGUUAUUAAAUGCAAGGUAAUACCAUUUUUAAAAGGUACUGUGGCAUUUCAGAAGUAUUGGAAAAUUGUCUAAAUGACAUGGAUCGAGAGUUCCCGAUUAUCAUCUGAGAAAAAGAAAUCUCUGAAAAAGUAAAAGAAAAUGUGUGGAUAAUAUCUUUCAAAGACAAAUUAGAUAGAAAAAAGAUGGUUGAUUUAAAGCAUAAACGAUUAUCCAAAAUAAAAAUAGUAAGUAUUACUUACCAUCAGUAGAUGAUUGAUUUUGUAUCUGAUCUGCAGAAUUAUAUAUUAUUUGAAAUUUUGGAGAAUCCAAUGUUCGCUGGGAAUCUAAAAUAUCUGAAUCAUUCGGUAACAUCGAAGGCUUUAUCUGAUGUAUUAAAUCCCAUAACGAUGACAACCAUGGAUCAAAGGUGGCUUCAUACCUAUUAAAAGCAAUCACUGGUCAAAUCAAUUUAGCACUACUACUGCAAAAGGAAGGCAACAUUGAUUCAUUGCCCAGAAAGUACAACAAAGUAAAAAUAUUUUCACAAGCCUGAAAAACAAAUUAAAAACUGGCAACUUACAAGUACACAAUAACUUUGGCACAUGCUAAAAUAAUGAUAAAUCUCACAUUUUUUAAAGCUUUUUCUGAAUAAAACAUUUUAAUAAAAAUUGAUUAUCUUUGAUUCCUCGAAUAUAUUAUGAAUAAUCUUUAGUUUACAAAUUUAUAUCAUCACAGUAGACAUGUUUUAAAAAUGGAAUAUCUUGAAGUCUUGAACAAUCAGUCACCGAUUUAAAACCUAAAUUUCUUUCUUAUAAUAGAAUUUUUACUCCACUCAUCUUUUCAAAAUUGUUAAAGUGAAUAGAAUUAGUUUCUGUAAUUAACUAAUUAGCUGUAGUUAGUUAUUAGCCCUAGUUAUUUCUAGCAUUUAUUUCUGUAAUUAACUUUGUAAUUAACGUUACCACUACCUAAGGCAGUGGUAACGUUUUCUGUUAUUCUCAGCCUAUAUAAACUAUAGGCUGGGGUUCAAUACAAGUACGAUUGGUAUUGCCAUUCUCAUUUCUGUUCACAUACUCUAAUCCAUUCAGUUUCAUCAUCACAAUAUGGUAUCAGAGCAUACCAGAAGUAAGUAUGAGACAUACCAGGGCAGCCAGUGGGAUUGUUAAAUCCCUGAAAUAUAAUCCGAAAUUCAAUCUCUCUGUGGAAGCUAGCAAGAUCCCAGUUCCAAGGUCUACAAAAUUCGCUCUUGAGGUUCCUCAAUGGAAACAAGCAAUGCAAGAAGAGUUUAAUGCGCUAAUAGAGAAUCAGACAUGGAAGCUCAUUCCUAGAUCACCCAAUGAUAACAUAAUUAAUACCAAAUGGGUGUUCAAAGUAAAAUCUAAGGAUGAUGGCACUGUCGAAAGGUUCAAGGCUAGGCUAGUGGCAAAUGGCAUGAGGCAGAUUGAGGGUUCGGAUUACACACACACUUUUAGCCCGGUUGUGAAAGCUAACUCCAUAAGGAUUGUGUUAACAUUGGCAAUCUCUAAUGGCUGGGAUUUGAAGCAAUUAGACAUUUCCAACGCAUUUUUACAUGGAAAGCUAGAUGAGAGGAUUGUGGUGUCACAACUUGCUGGUUUCAUUGAUCCAGAGCUUCCAGAUCAUGUGUGUUUGUUGCAGAAGUCACUAUAUGGUCUUAAACAAUCUCCAAGAAUGUGGUAUAGAAGACUCAGGGAUUUCUUGGUGUCCAUUCAUUUCAAGGAGUGUUCCACAGAUCCAUCCUUGUUUAUCCUUAUUCAUGGAGAGAGCAAGGCAUAUUUAUUUGUGUAUGUGGAUGAUAUUGUCAUCACUGGAUCAGAUAAGGAGACAGUGACUAAUAUCAUUAAGAAGAUGAGUGAUGAGUUCACUUUGAGGGAACUUGGAGAUCUGAAUUAUUUUCUGGGCAUUUCAGUUAAACCAGUCGAAGAAGGUCUUUUUCUCUCACAGCAACAAUAUUUGUGUAAUCUGUUGAGGAGUUGCAAGUUUGAGCAUCUAAAACCCUCAAGCACUCCUAUGGGAGACUUAAAAGAUCUUUUUAAAGAAGAUGAACCAGUAUCAAAUCACGGUGAAUACAGGAGAAUUAUUGGCACACUACAGUAUUUAACUCUGACCAGGCCAGAUAUACAAUUUGCAGUGAAUAAACUCUCUCAGUUUCUUGCAGCUCCAACUAAGACUCAUUGGGUGGCAGUCAAGAAAUUAUUAAGAUAUCUAUCUGGAACACAAGACACUGGUAUAAUAUUGAGAAAAACCACUGAUUUUUCUAUUACAGCAUACUCAGAUGCAGAUUGGGCAAGAGAUAUAAGUGAUAGAAAAAGUCAGACUGGUUUCUUGAUUUUCAUAGGUGGAACUUUAGUUGCUUGGGCAUCAACUAAGCAAACUACAGUGUCUAGAUCCACCACAGAGGCAGAAUAUAGAGCUGUAGGCACCACAGUAGAACAUGUUGAGGCCGUGAGAGCAUUACUUACAGAAUUGGGAGUGGAGGUUCCUUUGCCUAUGAAGUUGUACUGCGACAAUCUAAGUGCUACGUUCAUAGCUCAAAAUCCAGUAUGUCACACUAAAAUGAAACAUACUGCCAUCGACUUCAACUUCAUUAAAGAAAGAACAGAGAUGGGUUCAUUACAGGUGUUGCAUGUAGAGGGUGAAAGGCAGCUGGCUGAUAUCCUGACCAAGCCUCUAAGACCCACAUUUUUAAUGAAGUUGCAGCCCAAACUUGUGUUUACAAUCACAUAAGUUUGAGGGGGACUGUUAAAGUGAAUAGAAUUAGUUUAUGUAAUUAACUAAUUAGCUGUAGUUAGUUAUUAGCCCUAGUUAUUUUUAGCAUUUAUUUCUGUAAUUAACUUUGUAAUUAACGUUACCACGACCUAAGGCAGUGGUAACGUUUUCUGUUAUUCUCAGCCUAUAUAAACUAUAGGCUGGGGUUCAAUACAAGUACGAUUGGUAUUGCCAUUCUCAUUUCUGUUCACAUACUCUAAUCCAUUCAGUUUCAUCAUCACAAUAGUGCAUUCUGAGGUAUCUACAGAAUUCACUGAAUGUUGGCUUAUGUUUCACCAAGAAGGUUAUGAAGUUAGUUGGUUAUUGUGACUCUGAUCUUGGAAGGGAUUUGGACACCAGCAGGAACAUUUCUGGAUACAUUUUCUGGAGGGACAACUGUCAGUUUGAGAUCCAAGCUACAAAGUCAGGUCUUACUUUUAACCACAAAGGAUUGCUGAGAAAAUUCAGUUCUGUUUUCUGACAGUCAGAGUGCUAUUUACUUGGCAAAGAAUCCCAAGUUCCAUUCAAGGUCAAGCAUAUAAGACACAUAUAUCACUUUAUCAGGGAAUUGAUUGAGAAAUGGGAUCUUAAUUUGAGGAAGAUAGCAGGGGAUGAUAAUGAUGUUGAUAUGCUCACCAAGCAGGAGUAUUGGGAAGCUAAGGUUGUGAAUGGCCUUAGUUGGAUUCCUUGAACAUUGAUUGUUGUUGUGGUGAUAGCAGACAAUCUUCAAGUGGGAGAUUGUUGGGGUAUGUUGAGUAAUUUGGAGUAAUAGGCGUGUGAAGCAUGUUGUCUAGGCAUGUGUAAAUUGUUUUAUAAUUGUAACCCUUAUUAGGCCAAUUAUUAAGUAAUUAAUUGGGGCCAGCCCAAUUAGUAUCACACUAUAAAUACUUAUGAUUACUAUUACGUUAUACCUUUAAUUGUGAUUGAUUAAUACAAAGCCGUCACCACGGCAAGGAGAAGAGGACGUAAACCAUCUUGGGUGGAACCUCUAUAAAUCUGUGUUCUUAUUUUCUGCUUUACUUUCUAAUCAUCUAGCUAAGUAAGUUGAGUGCCACCACAUUGUGAGGUAGUGUGCGAUCUUGUGGGUAAUCAUGCUAUCUUGCCGCUAAUCCUCAUUUGCAUAGACGGUCUGUUGUGUGAGACUGGAGGUUGUUUUUGUUAGGAACAAGAGCAAUGAGAAACUAUUCCAAGCAAAUGUGAGAGAAAGAUUAAAGAGAGACGAUAUUUUUAACACGGUUCCACCCAAUCUGGUGUACACCCACAUGGUAUUCUGGUGAUGUAUUAUGAUGAACCCUAGAAAAGAAGCAACUCAUACUUAUUGGGUGAUUAUUAACCACCAAGAUAACCACCUGGUCCUUUACAAAGGAUCUUAACCAUUGAUGAUUGGUCAUGUGACUUAUGUAAUUGUCACAUGAUCUCAUUAAUGGCACUACUGUAAUUAAAUUAAUUAAAUAGUCUAAAACAGUCUACACAAUUAUAAAAUGAGUAUCCUUUAUUUCUCCAACAGUUUUGUGCAAUAGAUAUACUACCACGGUGCAACACGUAUUGUGACAGUCAGAUGAUUAGAUACAGCUAUUAGAUCGGUCAGCGACGCAACUCAUCCAAUUUUUUUUUUUAUUAGCACAUCAGACAUUUCUUAGGAUCGAUCCUUCAAUGCAACUUGAUGUGAAGGUGAUUCAAUCUAAUACCACUUGAUGUAAAAAACAAUGUUAGAGGAUUGCCUUCUGCAUAUUUGCUAAUUUCAAUAGCUCGACUAAAUGGCUUGAAAUUAUGGUAAGGUCUAAAAUCCAGUAGAGAGGGAGUAUGAACGAGAAUAGAAAAGAGAGAAAUACCUGAGGAAAUAUUGUAAAAUUGAUAAUUAUUCUCCUUUUUAUUUCAAUUAUUGUUUUCAACCCUUUUUAUUUCCUCACAUUGCUUUCUUUUUGUGCUUACUACUCUACAUUGGUUUUUCUACAUUUUUUACUGCAGAUCUGUUACAUUCCCCUGCCUCAUUAGAAUGGAUAAAUCAUGAAGUAUUAGAUACUGAAAACAGUCAAGUAAAAAGAUGGAUGUCUCUACCACAAUACCCUUCUGUUCAAAUCACAGAAUCCAACUCACUGCAUAGAACUUCAUCAUAUCCUCAUCAGCAACAACAUCAACACAGUAACCUCAACAAACCAAUAACUGUGCCAAAAUUCUUUUUUCCAUCCUUCCUCCCACCUAAUAGUGAUUUUCAUGUUCUUCCAAAUUUACCUUACAAUUCAACCCUUCCAUCAUUUUCACAUGGCGUUCAGAUGCCUUUGUCUACACUAAACUUACCAUCCUUUUCUGAUUCUCAUCUUCAUUAUGCAGCAGUUCGUCAUGGGGGAAAUAUGGGUCAGCUUACGCCAGGACAGUCAAAUCAAGGGCUGAACUUGAACCAAUCUAAUAUUUUGCCACAACAAUUCCAUCAUCCUGACAGUAAUAUGAAAUUUGAAAUGUUUUCUCAGCAGCAGCAGCAGAUUCAAAGAAACCAUUUUGCUCAACCAUCUAUUUCCAAUUUCGCACACUUGCAGUCUCAGUUGCCAUGUUCAAAUCCUUCUCCAACACAGAUGGUGGAUCACUUUGGUACAAUGGUUGGGUUGCCUCAUCAAAGGGACCAAAGGUUCGAACCUGUACAAGGGGGAAGACAAAACAUACGUUUUCAUCCUAACUUUCGUGCCAUCAACAAUAAUAUUAAUUAUGGAUGGCCACAACGUUAUAGAUCCAAAUACAUGUCCAAUGAAGAACUAGUUAAUAUUCUCAGAGUGCAGCUUGCAGCUACCCAUAGCAACGAUCCAUAUGUGGAUGAUUAUCCCCAUCAAGCUUCCUUGGCGAAGAAGUCUGAAGGAUCAAGGCUGAAACACCAUUUUUGUCCACAAUCUAUUCGUGAUUUUUCUUCUCGUCCCAUUCAUAAUCCUGAGCCACAUCCAUAUCUUAAAGUUGAUGCUCUUGGGAGACUUCCUUUUUCAUCCAUCCGCAGGCCUCGCCCCCUACUUGAUGUUGAUUCUCCCUCUGCGACCAGUGAAAAAGUUGACCCAGAACAUAAACAAAAAGCUCUUGAUCAAGAACCUAUGCUUGCUGCCAGAAUCACAAUUGAAGAUGGCCUUUGCCUUCUUCUUGAUAUAGAUGACAUUGACCGACUUCUUAAAUUCAGACAGCCACAAGAUGGAGGCUCUCAAUUAAUGACACAGAGAGAUGGUCUUCUCAAUGAACUUGCUGCAUCACUUCAACUAGUUGAUCCUCUUAGGACUGGAAAUACUGGUCAACCCAUUGACGACGUCAUCUUUUUGCGACUAGCAUCUUUGCCAAAGGGAUUAAAUCUCCUUUCAAGAUUCCUCCAUCUUCUUAUGCCUGGAAGCAAGCUCACUCGGGUUAUCUGCAUGGCUAUUUUUCGUCAUUUGCAAUUUAUAUUUGGUAGAUUAAAUGGAGACGCAACGACAAAACUUGCAAAUGCCAUUUCUUCUAGUGUAUCUGCAAUGGACCUCAAUGACCUUAGUACUUGUCUUUUUUCUGUUGCUUGUUCCUCGGAACAUCCACCUCUCCGUCCUAUUGGAAGUCUUGCUGGAGAUGGAGCUACAGUCAUCAUAAAAUCUGUUCUUGAUAGAUCGACAGUUCUUUUGAUGGAUCGCCAUUCUGCAAACAACUGCAUUACCUCUCAUCGGGAUCUGUGGCAGGAGUCAUUUAAUUCUUUCUUUCCCCUUCUUAUGAAGCAUUGUUUGAUUAAGUAUGAUGACAUUAUGAAACCACAUCAUAUGGAAACGAGAGAUUCUACUACUGUUGCAUCCGAAAUAGCAAAAGCUAUCAGCAGGGAGAUGCCUGUGGAUUUGUUACGAGCAUGCCUUCCACACACAGAUGAGCAGCAACGUAAGCAUAUAGUUGAUUUUGCACAGAGGUCGGUGUCAUGAUCAAUGGGAAGAAAAGUGCAAACAUUAAUUAUUUAUUGGAUGUGGGUGGGUUGGUACAAGAAAUUGUAUAGUUGUCAGGUAAAACACCAUAUCAUUUUUCUUUCAUGAACCAUGAGGAAGUUCACUUAUCGAGUGCUUAAUUUUGGGUGCUCCGUUUAGCGGUUUUAGUUGGCACUCGUCAUGAAUUAUAAGUCCAAUCAAUGUUGUCUUCUGCUUCCCUUAAUUUUCUGUAGAUUGAUGAAAUGCUUUUUAAAGUCAGUUUUCCUUGUGAAGAUUAUUCCCUCAGUAGAGGUUUGUUAUAUCCUUUGCUUGUAAUUGUUGAGUUCUGGUAGUUAGAACUUGAAAGUUAUGUGUUUUGAUUAAAAUACAUUAAUGUUGCUUUUAUCUUAAUUUUUUAAAAUAUUUUAAAUAAAAUCAAUUUUCAGGGUGGUAUUUGAUGCAGGAAAGUUAAGGAUUCCAUGUAGCACAGUUAGUCUCACUCUCACAGGGACAUCCAUCCUCUCUUUGAAUCUUUUAGGAAAUUGAGUCCAACAGAAGUUGCUUAGAAAUAUUAGAAAUAAAUAUUAUCUACUUAAUAGAUUGUUAAUAUGAAAUUAGUAUGAUAUUAAUUACAGUCAGUGAAUACAAUUAGUACUUAGAUUUAAUGGUUUUUUAAUUGUGCAUAUGUUUCAAGAAUUGAGCAUCUCAAAUCACAAUUGUUUUCUAUUUACUGUUUGUUGUUUCUUUCUUUCCCUACUAAUUGUUGACUCUUUCUCCACCACUUCCAUUCAUUUUAGCCAUGUUGGAUACACCAAACAAAUAUCAACACACUGGAUGUACGUUUUUCAUGAUAGAAAAACUGGAUCGCUUGGGAUAGAUCCAGGCUGCAGUCAGACACUCAGACCCCUGUGUUCUCAUCUGUGAUAAAUCAUCGUAUCCCUCUAUCGCUACAAAAGAUGAGCCAUGCACUUCUUAGAGUCUCAGAGUAUAAGAGAUGAAUUAAGUGUGUUAAGGAAGACUGAAUCUUAGUUGAUAAGUAAGUUUGUAAUCCAUGUAGUAAAUACAAAAACUUGUGCUAUUUACAAAUACAGAGUUGUUGGUCGGUGAUGAUCAAAAUUCCAGUUCUGUUGCACUUACUCACAGCUUGAGUAAUUGCAUACAUCUCUUUGAUGUAGAUAGAUGCUCUAGCCAUCCUACUAGUAAUUUUAGAACUAUAAUAUGCAAUGGGGUGUUUCUCUUGUAAUAACACAACACCUAUCCCUACCAAACAAGCACCAGUCUCUAUUAUAAAUUGCUUCGUAAAGUCAGGGUACAUCAGUAUUGGUGUUGUUGUCAUGGCUUUUUUGAGUGCAGAAAAACUGGAAGAAGCUGCAUCAUUCCAAACAAAUGAAUUAUUUUUUAGAAGAUCAGUCAUGGGGGCUGCUAUCUCAGCAUAUUUAUUGAUAAACCUUCUGUAGUACCCAGUUAACCCCAAAAAUCCUCUCAAUUGUUUGAUGUUCUUAGGUAAAGGCCAGUCCACCAUUGCUGAAAUUUUAGAAGGGUCUGGUUCUACUCCUGAGCCAGAGAUAAUGUGCCCUAGAAAAUUCAUAGUUGCCUUUCCGAAUGUGCAUUUAGAGAGUUUGUCCAAAAAUUUGUGAGACCUUAAAGUUUGCAGGACUUGUUCAAGGUGCCGAACAUGAUCUUGUUCAUUCUUGCUAUAGACCAAGAUGUCAUCGAAGAAAAUAAUCAUAAACCUUCUCAUUAGGUGUUGAAAAGUGUCAUUCAUAACAGAUUGGAAGGUGGAGGGUGCAUUGGUCAAGCCAAAUGGCAUGACUAAGAACUCAUAAUGCCCAUGGUGAGUUCUAAAUACAGUCUUACAAACAUCUGAUGGGUUUACUGGUAUUUGAUGGAAACCUGAACUUAAAUCCAACUUGGAAAAUACAGAAGCUCCCUUAAGUUCCCCUAAAAGUUCAUCAACCGUGGGUAUGGGAAAUUUAUCUUUCACUGUCAAGGCAUUUAGUGCCCUAUAAUCUACACAGAGUCUGAACCCUCCAUCUUUUUUCUUAACUAACAAAACAGGAGAUGAAAAAGGUGAUGUACUGGUUUGUAUAAUCCCUUGUUCUGACAUUUCUUUGAUCAAUCUUUCAAUUUCUGUUUUCUGAAAUUGGGGCUGCCUGUACGGUCUCACACUCAGGUUUAGAUUGUGAUUCCAGAUGUAUGAAGUGGUCUUGUUUUCUUUGAGGUGAUAGACCAGUGGGGGAAGCAAAAAUAUCUUCAUAAGUAUACAAAAGAUCAGUGAUAAUAGGACUUACUGAUUU
Molecule: long non-coding RNA, 18135 nt
Filed under: Zostera marina
Lineage: Eukaryota; Viridiplantae; Streptophyta; Magnoliopsida; Alismatales; Zosteraceae
Description: long non-coding RNA (ZMAR_LNC003652)
Source: RNAcentral